Molecule: long non-coding RNA, 506 nt
Organism: Eleginops maclovinus (Patagonian blennie)
Lineage: Eukaryota; Metazoa; Chordata; Actinopteri; Perciformes; Eleginopidae
Exons: 3
Source: RefSeq, a predicted model, not a curated record
CUGUUCCUGUGUGUCAUGGUACCUGUUCCUGAACUGUGACAUGUGGCCUGUUCCUACACCAGCCGUGCUCUCUGGAUUUGUUUUCUCAUUUGGAUCCUUCCCUGAUUUGACCCUUGCCUGCCUCAUGAUUCCUUUAUCUGCACUGCUGCAUGGACUGGACCAACAUUAGGAAACAGCCAGUAGGCUCAUGUGCCCUGGAGAGAAGACCCAAAGUUCACCCUGCCAUUCCUGUGAAACUACAUGUGCUAAACAUGGACUGUAUAUGGAGAAGAAAGAGAAAAGAAAAAGGAACAUUUCUCCAGCGGGGUGCUUUGUAUACUCAAGAUGGUUUUGGAAAGACACAGGCUUCAUUUGAUUUUCCCCUGCUGUUACAAACACUCAGGAUAAUGCUUACAAGAACAAAGAGCAUAUCUCGGGUCUCAAUAUCAGCAUAUGGUACUUUUUCAAAAAUGUAAGUUAUUUUGUUGAUUAAAAAAGUAUGUAGACUCUCAAAGAACGAACAAGAA